CCGAGUUUACAACUCCCAAACCCCUGUGAACAUACCUACUUACGUUGCCUCGGCGGAUCAGCCCGCGCCCCGUAAAACGGGACGGCCCGCCAGAGGACCCCUAAACUCUGUUUCUAUAGUGGAACUUCUGAGUAAAACCAUAAAUAAAUCA
This 151-nucleotide unclassified non-coding RNA is filed under the name soil metagenome. RNAcentral's name for it is "partial internal transcribed spacer 1". The record is from RNAcentral.